CAGAUGAGUCUUUACAUACAGUGAAAGACUCCAGGACUCUUUCUGCUUGUUGGGAAUAUACACUCCUGCCCUGAAACAUAAAUUCUACUGCCGAUUGUCCAUCCAAAGGUACAGGUCUUCAGUUUUAUCAGAGACCUUAGGAAUUGCCACAUAAACGACAAAGAUCUUGCUUCCUGGGCUCACCUCACAGGAUUCCUUGUCUCAAACCCAGCCUCAGACCAAGUGGUAUUUUUGAUGCAAGCUUGAGAGCCACCAACGACUGAACCUAACACCUUGCGACCCUUCCAUUCCCUUUGGGGAUUGCUUAGCACUUUUUUUCCCCAUGCUUGGAGUGCGAUAACUGACAAAUGGGUGCUGAAUAUCAUCCACCAUAGCUAUACGAUCAAGUUUGUAAUGCUAACUUCUCCAAAAUCCUCCUCCCCACCCCCUUUUGGGACCAGUCUCAUGACAAUAUUCUCAUCCAAGGAGUGAACUCCUUAUUACAAUGAAGAACAAUCGAACUCAUCCCACUGGAAUAUCAAGGAAUAGGAUUCUACUCGACUUAAUUUCCUGAUUCCCAAAAAGGACUGUUGGAGACCAAUCCUCGACCUCUGCUACUUCAGUCAUUUCAUUCACAAACUCAAGUGUUGCAUUGGCAGCGAUAAUUCCAUCUCUAGAAAGACGUGUUCAUGGCUCUUGUUAUGAAGGAUGCUUGCUUGUUUUCACAUCAACAGUCACCCUGCCCCGACGUUUUCUCAGGUUUAAGAUGGGUGCCAACUAUUUCCAAUACCAAGUACUUAGCUUUGGAAUAGCUACCAUUACCAGAGUCUUCACCAAAAUAUUUUCCAUAGUAGCAGCUUAAGCCUGGUGUUAUCGUCUCUUUGUUUUUUCUGUACCUCAACGACUGGCUCCUGGCUGCCAAAUUGCACUAAGAAGCCCAUAUGCCAACCUGUUACUCAACGUCCUCGCUUCGCUGGGAGUCAGCAUCAACGCUGAGAUAUCAAUCCUCAACCCCAUGCAAUCAUUGGACUUCAUUGGGACUACCAUAACUUCUAUCACAGCACAAGCAUACCUGCCCACAGACAAAUUUCAGGAGAUGAACAUCAUAUCUCAUCAGGAACAACCCUCAAGUACCAGGCAUGACUUGCCUGUCUCUUGUCCGCACGGCUUUGUGCACCUAUGUGACCUUCGCUGCCUUCAGACUUGGCUCCAGUCCAUGUUCUCACUGAACCAUCACUUUCUGAACCUGAAAGUUCAAGCCAGGGUAUUGUUCUCUCUCCUAUGGUAGACUGACCCACAUCUGUGUGUGGGAGUUCCCUUUUUUCCCUCCUCCCCAAACAAAAUUAUCACCAACGCACCUUAGUGGGCUGGGGAGCCCAUAUGGAUGACCUUAUGAUACAAGGUACAUGGACACUUUGAGUAUCCAGGAUGCGUCUCAGUCUUAUGGAACUUAGAACAGUAUAAAAAGGUUUGCAGAUCGUUUGUCCAACUCACAUGCUCUCACUGAUCAUGUCAGACAAUACCAGCACUGUUUUCUAUAUCAACAAACAAGAGGGGACAUGAGAGAGUGAGAUUCUCCACUUUAUGCACAGAAAUAUUGAACCUCUGGACCUGAUGCAUCAAACAUCAUAUCACCCUAUCCACAGCCUACCAGGGAUGUAGAAUGUCCCCGUGGACUCACUCAGCAGACACUUCGGGAUUGACGAGUGGGAACUUCACGAUACAGUGCUACACAACAUCUUUCAACAAUGGCGAACCCCAAUCAGAGACCUAUUUGCUUCUCAGACCAACAGCAAGUGCACCAUGUACUGCUCCUGGGAAGCCAUUGAUUAUCAUUCCCGGGGUGAUGCGCUCCUACACUCUUGGUCAGACCAGCUCAACUAUGCUUUCCCUCCACUGCUGCUCCUUCCUUGAGUAUGCCACAAAAUCUGAAAAGACAGGGAGGUGGUCAUUCUACACUCACUCACUCACUCCCCUCUGGCCGACAAUUUUGAUUCCCCAGUUUCCUUCACAUGUGAUCUUGUCCACCAGUUCCCAUCCUGAACUUCCCUGAUCUUCUGACCCAGUACAGUGGCACCCCACUCCACAUGCCACUCAGGGCAUAGAUUUGGAUGGGCAUCUACUCUAGAAUGGACAUGCUCCUCAGCUAUACAAGACAUCUCUCUAACAGUGGGAAGGAUUGUACUAGGUAAUGUUACCAGGCUAAAUGGAGACUUUUUUUGUCUUGGGCUAACAUAAAGGGGUUCUACCAGAAGUGGGCAGAAAUUCCCUUAAUCCUGGAUUAUAUUCUAUCUCUAAAGUCAUUGAGUCUUGCCCAUAGCACUUUGACAGUCCACCUGAUGGCAGUCAGCACAUUCCAUCCACCUGUGAGGGGUUCCUCUGAUUUUACACAUCCGCUAACCACUAGAUUUUGGAAGGGCCUCCUCAGAACCUUCCCUCCCCUCCAAACGGUCAUACCUCAAUGCGACUUGAAUUUGGUACUCUGCUUCAAUUAAACCCCCCUUUGAGCCACUGGCAUCUUCUUCAACGUCUCUCCUUUCCACUAAAGUCAACCUUCCUGGUUGCUAUCACUUUGGUGAGAAGAGUCUGUGAACUUGGAGCUAUGAUAGCAGAUAGGUCGUUCACAGUAUUCCACAAGGAUAAGGUCUCCUUAUGUCUACACCUUAAACUUCUACCAAAGGUGGUAUCCUACUUUCUCAUGAAGUAAUCUUGUUUUCUUCCCGAAACCAUAUACCUCUGCAGAAGAAUACCAACUCCAUUCCCUUGGCAUCAGGAAGUCCCCUAGACUGUUUAUUGCAGUUGCCGAGAGGCUAAAGACAGGCCAUCUCCAGGAGGAUUUCUGGUUUCAUCAAUUUCUGUCAUCUCUCGGGCUUUCCUCCCCACCAGAGAGAUAUGGGCUCAGGCUACCAACACAGCCUCCCUUCAGGAUGUGCCUCUCAGGCCAGGUCUACACCGGGGGUGGGGGGUGGAAUCGAUCUAAGUUAUGCAACUUCAGCUAUGUGAACAACAUAGCUGAAGUUGAUGUACUUAGAUCUACUCACCGUGGUGUUUUCACUGUGACUUCACUGUGUUUUCACAGUCGACAGCUGACGCUCCCCCAUCAACUCCACCUGCACCUCUCGCCUCAGUGGAGUACUGGAGUUGACGGGAGAGUGCUUAGUGGUCGAUUUAUUGCGUCUAGACUAAACACAAUAAAUCGACCCCUGCUGGAUCGAUCGCUGCCCGUCAAUCCUUUGGGUAAUGUAGACAAGCCCUCAUAGACAUACGUAGAGCAACCACAUGGAGUUCUGUGCACACCUUAGUAACACUCUAUGCCUUGGAGCAGUACUUAGCAUCAGAUGCCUCCUUUGGCACGGCAGUUCUCUGCACAACCCUUCCAUCCUCCUCAUCGCACCCUUCUCCAACCAAAGCACUAUUUGUCAGUCAUCCUCAGUGGAAUACAAUAGAGACAAUCACUCAAAAAAAGAAGAGAAAGUUGCUUACCUGUAGCUGGAGGUUCUUUGAGAUGUGUGGUCCCUACCUGUAUUCCACUUUCCAUCCUCCUUCUCCUCUGCGUCGAGUCUGUCAGAUUCAUGGUAGAGAAAGAACUGGAGAUGUCGUCCUUCUGCCCUGUCCUUUAUCGCCUUGGUUGGAAACAUGAGGUGAGUGAGGGCCCAUGCGCAGAUCAGUGGACACUACUUUCAGAAUUUCUCCAACUCUGAGUGUGUGGUAUGCACACUCCCAGUGGGUUACAGAUAGACCACAUAUCUUGAAGAACCUGCAGUGAGAGGUAAAUAACCUCCUCUUACACAUGUGGCUCCUUCCUCUGCAUCAGGCUCCUCCAGGCUUGACGACUGGGACUGACUGGACUGGAAUGGAGUCUCAAACAGGUCCUGGUUCAUGGCAUAGCUGGACCCCUCCUCCCAUUAGCAUGUCCUGUAUCUUUCUCCUCCUCAUUUCGGUUCAUGGCAGGGGCCUGUGACUUGGGCCCCACAGAGGUAUCCACAGUGAUGUGUGGAGUGGUAAUGAGGUCAUUGCCAAGCACGACAUGUAGCUCUUUGUAAAAGCGGCAGGUCUGCAGCUUGGCAUUGGAUUGACUGUUGGCCUCCCUGGCCUUCUGAUAUGUCUGAUGUGGUUCCUUCACUUCCAUGAGGCACUGCUGCUGGUCCAUGUCAUAUCCUUGCUCCCACAUCCCCUGUGUAAUCUGUUUCUAGAAGUCCACCUUUCUACAGCUGUGCUCAUACAGGCUCUUCUCCCCAUAUCCAGUAUCUCUUAUCUACUCCAAGCUGCAACUUAUCUGAAGCAUGUAGCCAGCAUAGUCAGCUGGGCAGCUGUGCAUAAGAAUGGAGAACUGCUAGGUGCGCUUGCCAAGCUGGACAGUCAGGGAAAAAGCAUUUGAAAAAUUCGUGGGGCUUUAAAGGGGAGGGAGGCUUUCUGUUCUCUGACCCAUGGGCAACGUAGUUCACAAUUGACACCAGAGCAGUCAUUGUCAGACAGUGUGAGACAUCUUCUGGAGGACCGUUAGGGACGACAUAAGUAGCAAUGUCUUCACUUGUGCCGUAUCAACCUCAGUACAUCAAUCCUGGCUCAACACGAAGGAGAUGGUGUUAGUGUGUUUGUAAUGGGACACUUACAUCCAUGGGAAACAUAUUUAAGGGUAGACACAUGCAUAACUAGGUCAACGCAAGGCAGCUUACGUUAACCUAACUUUGUUGUGUAGACGAGGCCUUAAUAAGGAAUUAUUCUCAGAAUGUAGCACUGUGAAACAGAAUUAGGAGAGUAAUUUUGGAGGAAUUAAAAAGAUGCUGUCAAUGUAUAUUUAUUGAAAUAACUAAUUUCAGUUUUUUUCAAAAUGUAUCAUUUAAACAGUAUGCCCUGAAAGAUUUUUUUUUUUUUAAAUGGCUUUUAUUUGUAAGGUGUAGUGGGUUUUUUUUGUUUUUUUUUAAAUGAAGGGCUCAAGUCUUGCAUUCCUUCCUUUACCUUCACAGAUAUUUUCCAGCAUUUUUAAAUAAAGCGUUGCAAUUUGUAGUGCAUGAGAUAAGAAAUGCAACUGAUGCAACAGUCAAGAAAAUUGUUUGGCUGUACACACAAAUGUUAUGAAAUGUGCAGAAUAAAGAAACUGAAAAUAGAGAAUUUUUUACUAAAUUUCUUAUUUAGUAAUUUUAGGUGUUGCAACAAUUUUAUGUAAAAACUGAAACAAACGUUCACUGUAAAAAAGCAAACUUCUAGUGAAAAAUAGAGAGGCAACCAAAUGUAUAUGUUAAUGAAAGUUUGCAGAGGGAAAAGAUACUAAAGAGGAAAUCAGCACCUCUACGAAACAAGGUGCACUAGUGUGUAUACAGUGUUCUCUGUGAGCAAAAACUGUACAAGGUUACUCCUACCCACUUGGUUUUUAGCAUCUAAAUGUUAAACACCUGCUUGUACUUUUUUUCAAACUCAAACUGUGCAAAACAUUUCACUGAUUAUUCUGCCUAUAUUCCCAAUUCUAUCUUAAAUUUCUGUGCUCCAUCUCUAGAACUAAGAUUUUAAAAAAUAGUUCAUCUCAUUACUUAAGUUCGAUAUGUUUUUGACCUCUAUGUGGUGUUAGAUCUAUCCUGAUAUAAGAAGUUGAGGAUGUUCCUUUCUUUGCACACUUCUAUUAGCUCUCUCCACCUCUGAAUAGCAUCGUUUUCAGUUCCCCGAUCAAAGGGCAUUCCACUCACGAAAUUUAGUCUGAAUGCUAGCAAGUAAAUCCAGUACUACUUGUCAUAAUUCUAGCUAAUUUGGUUGUUAAUCUAACCUUAUUUUUCCUAUGAGACUAUAUUGUGAGCAAAAAUUAUUCUUCCUGGGUUUCAGACAGAAAACAGAUCAAAAUUGCUCUGAAGAAAGUAUUCAAUUUCAUAAGUAGCUAUUUGUGGAAUAGGGGAAAAGACGAGAUAGCUUAUUGAUUGAAACAUCAGGCUUGAAACACAUGCACACAAACCACAAGAUUCAAUUAUAGCUAAAUUAACUCAACCAUUAAUAUUUCUCUGGUAUAUAAACAAAAUUCCAUGCAUUUUAUGGUGUGUAGAGGCUCAUUCUGAAUACCCAUGCAAUAUUGCUGUCUUUUUUCUAUGGCCAUUAGUUUGAUGGAACUUUUUGGCCAAAUAUACAUACAAGGUCAAAGAUGCAUACAAUUACCUACUAUGUUUUAAAAAAUAAAUAAAUAAA
Dermochelys coriacea (leatherback sea turtle) is the source of this 6147-nucleotide long non-coding RNA. RefSeq lists it as uncharacterized. NCBI's taxonomy places the organism in Eukaryota, Metazoa, Chordata, Testudines, Dermochelyidae. The record is from RefSeq and is a predicted model, not a curated record. The transcript has 2 exons.